GGAGAUUCUGAAGGCAUAACUAGAAUAGAAAUGACUUCUGCUAGUCAGUUACAAAGGAAAUUGUUCCCCUUCUGUCUUCAGUGAGUUGCAGAGUCACUGCUUUGCCAUCCAGGAGAUGGACAACAUAGUAGGUGUGUUUUUUGAAUGGCUUUUAUUAGAAAGCAAGAUGGUACCUAUUCUUGUGAUUGUGCUUCUCAUUGAGCAGUUCCAAAAUUUGCCUCAUCACUGGAAUCAGGAAGAUGCUUUAAAAAGGACAGAGAGAUCUUUUGUCAAACUGAGACCUACUGAAUAGCACCAGAUCUAUGUAGCCUGGUGGAUGGAUCCAGGGGAACGACUUGUUCUGGAUUGAAUCUGGAUCCCGUCAGAUUCACUGAAUCAAAAUUUUCAGCUGUGGGCUCAGAUGGCACAAGUUGAAGAC
This is a long non-coding RNA of Bos taurus (domestic cattle), 418 nucleotides long. NCBI's taxonomy places the organism in Eukaryota, Metazoa, Chordata, Mammalia, Artiodactyla, Bovidae. The record is from Ensembl.